AAAAAAAAUCUCAUUUUUCCCCCAAAACCCACAACAUAAUUUCCAAAACCAAUUUUUUUUCCCCCAAAACACACAACAUAAUUUCCAAAACCAAUUUUUUUUCCCCAAAACCCACAACAUAAUUUCCAUCCAUCCUCUUUCUCUCUCUCUUUCUUUCCCUCACCCCUCUUAUCCUCAAAAGUAGAGGGAAUGGCCGACCUCAGCCGCCCUCACCGCGACCUUUGCCGUCGCCGCCAACUCUCCCUCACUGCUGCCAUCGCCGCUUACUUUGCUUCCGCUCUAGAUUACAUCCGCACCAACUUUAAUUGCUUCCACUUCUUCUUCUCUAAGUUACUCUCUUCCUCUUAUUUUAUUUUAUUUAUUUAUUUAUUUUGUAAAAAAUGAUCUUUCUCUUUGUAUCUAUCUCUAGGGUGCUCUUUCUAAUCCUACCUCUCAAAUUUUUUUACUUUUUUGAAGGGAAGACCAAGGCCACUCAAAAGUAUUAGGGUCAUAAUAUUCUUAAUUAUGAAGCAUGCAUAUUGGAGGAUUUUUACAAUCUUCAACUGAAAAACACAACCAUUGGUAUUAUUUACUUUCUAUGAAUUGGAAUAUCAUUCUAUAAUUGCAGUCCACAUACGAGAUUAGUUUACUAUGUGACUAUUUUAGCAUAUCUUUUUGAUUCUAAGAUAAGCAUAUUUUUUUUAUUGAGAAAGUAAUUGUGAUCUUAUUUAAAAUGUGGGAUCUGAUGGAAGGUUUUUGUGUCUUUAGGGCUCCUAUGGUACUAAAUAAAUUUUGUAUGCAAAUUAUUAUUGCGUGCUUUUUAUAUAUUUUUGUUUAUAAUUGAUGAUGGGGUUCUGUUAUUUCUUCAUAUUUUUUUGAAAAAAAAUUUAUUUAGAUGCACACUAGAUCAAUUGCAGUAAAAAAAGCAUUCACAAGAGCAAUUAUCAUACAAUAGCUAUCCUUUGUAGACCAUUGUUUAAUUUUCCUUCUCUUGUCUUCACUCUAUUCUUUCUUCAGUACUCUGCAGCCAAAAUCUCACAAGUAUUCAAAAUCUAUGGAUAUCCAAAUCCACAAGUAAAUCCACUGCACUAUAAUACUAUCUAACUAAAUCACACUGCACUAUAAUACUAUCUAACUAAAUCACACGUGGCCUCGCUCAGUCAUACCGACCACUCGACAAAACUCUAAACCCCACUCAUCUGCCGCUCGACCGCUUUCUUUCUCCCCCUCUUGGCUUGUGCUAGAUCUCCCCCUUCUUUCUCUCUCGCUCUUUUAUGAAGAGAACUACGAGGACAA
Molecule: long non-coding RNA, 1275 nt
Filed under: Ananas comosus (pineapple)
Lineage: Eukaryota; Viridiplantae; Streptophyta; Magnoliopsida; Poales; Bromeliaceae
Description: long non-coding RNA (ACOM_LNC040643)
Source: RNAcentral